GCUUCAUCUAAUUCACAAGGAAAAUCAUAAAGAUUCAAGCAAAUUGAAAGCAUAAUCAGGAAAUUGCAAGCUCUUAACUAAUCCUUUGAAAGGGUGUAAAGGAAGAGGGCUCGGGUUCUAAGAAGUCGGAAAGCUCGCAAGACAAAGGUAAAUCCUCGAUUUAGACGUUUGGACGGCUUGGAACGUGCACACUUGGAUUACGCCCGCCUCACGCUUCCGUUAUUAAGUCUUUUAAAAUGGGUUAAGUUUUGGUCAUAUGUAACUAGGUUUAUGUAGUAUGUUGAUAACUUCGUUGUUGGGUAAAAACUUGGUA
This is a long non-coding RNA of Helianthus annuus (common sunflower), 313 nucleotides long. RefSeq lists it as uncharacterized. The transcript is spliced from 3 exons. Lineage: Eukaryota; Viridiplantae; Streptophyta; Magnoliopsida; Asterales; Asteraceae. The record is from RefSeq and is a predicted model, not a curated record.